Molecule: long non-coding RNA, 403 nt
Filed under: Homo sapiens (human)
Lineage: Eukaryota; Metazoa; Chordata; Mammalia; Primates; Hominidae
Description: HSALNT0202419
Source: RNAcentral
UGUACAACUGGUCUUGCUCUUUUUUCAGUCUGUAUUAACUCCAUGGAAAGAACAUGGACAAUCCAUUUAAGGACAUCCUGGAUGAGCUGGAUGUCAGGUUUAUCAAAGACAAAAAACUAUAAUAAAGAGCCUCCCUGCUGCCAAGCUCACCUUCAAGGAAAUAUCAUGGAUUAUUACUGCCUUGGUUAAAGUCAAUUACAGGAGCAGCAGUGUUAUAUGCAAGAAAGUGCCAAGCUCUAAUAAAGGCAGUUUCUACGGCAGAGAAUCCAUGAAGAAAAUGUAUUCUCAUCAGAAAAAACCCUCUCGCCAUUCGGAGGGGAUUUCCUGUUGUGGUAAUAGAAUGGGUUUAGAGAAUAACUGCCAGAAACUAACAAUUUGUGAAGAAGAGCACCAACUACAAAAC